CGCAGCAAACCCAUCAUUCCCAAAAUGGCCGACCUCCCACCUUCCAGUUUAAGGUUACACCACCCAGCAUUCUACUCAACUGGCAUGGACUGUUUUGGCCCUUUCCUCAUUAAGAUAGGGAGGCGCAAUGAGAAGCGAUGGGGUAUAAUAUUCAAAUGCCUCACUACACAUGCAGUGUAUCUAGAUCUGUUGGCCAGCAUGGACAGUGAUUCUUUCCUCAUGAGUCUACGUUGUUUCAUCUCUAGACGGGGAAAGCCUCACGAAUUGCUGUCUGAUCAAGGCACAAAUUUCAAAGGUGGCAGCUCAGAACUUCAAGAGGCCUUCAAUUCCCUUGCCCCCGAUCUUCAGUCAAAACUCGCCAGCCAGCAAAUCCAUUUCCGCUUCAAACCACCAAGUGCACCUCAUUUCGGUGGUUCCUGGGAGCGAGAAAUCCGCACCAUCAAGUCAGCGCUUCACGCCAUAUUGGGAUCCCAAACAGUCACCGAUGAGGUCCUCCGAACCAUCCUUGCAGAAGUGGAGAGUAUCAUCAACUCCAAGCCCCUUGGCUACACCUCUUCGGAUGUGGCAGACCCAGAUCCAAUCACUCCCAAUAUGCUGCUGAUGGGGCGGCUGGACCCAUCCACUCCUCAAGUUAUUUAUUCCGGCACAGAGCUUCUCAGUCGUUGCAGAUGGCGACACUGCCAGGUCUUAGCGGACCAGUUUUGGAUCCAUUUCAUGAGGAACUACUUACCAUCUCUCCAGAGCCGCUCCAAGUGGCAACAGGACCAAGAGGACAUCUGUAUAGAUGACAUUGUUCUUGUUGUUGACCAGCAGCUCCCGCGCGCCUUGUGGCUUGUCGGAAAGGUCACAUUUGUUUUCCCUGGAGCUGACGGCAAGAUUCGUACUGCUCAAGUACAGGUCAAAGACAAAUCCUACAUCAGACCUGUCGCUAAGCUCAUCAAGCUGCCUGCACUCCCUCAAGACAUUCCUGAUUGACUUGUGUUCAACUUUGCUGCCAAAAGUUGGGGGCGGCUGUUAACAAGGUUCUGAUUUAUGUCAAAUUUAGUGUGUUUUCAGAAUAUAUCCGCAAAGUAUAAUUUAGUUUAUCUUAGUUUCUCUUUCUAUUUUCAUAUAUCUAUGUAAAGAGCCCUGCCUUGUUACAGCUUAGCAAC
Molecule: long non-coding RNA, 1151 nt
Filed under: Gouania willdenowi (blunt-snouted clingfish)
Lineage: Eukaryota; Metazoa; Chordata; Actinopteri; Blenniiformes; Gobiesocidae
Description: lncRNA (ENSGWIG00000004240.1)
Source: RNAcentral